Molecule: non-coding RNA, 144 nt
Organism: Cordylochernes scorpioides
Lineage: Eukaryota; Metazoa; Arthropoda; Arachnida; Pseudoscorpiones; Chernetidae
Source: the annotation of a GenBank genome assembly
GCACAGUUGGUACAGUGGAGUGAACCCAGGAGGAGCUCUGAACAUCAGAAAUAGACAGCAUCAAACAACACUAACAAGAUUUAGAACAGGUAAACCGUUUGGUUUUCGACCACUAGGACCCGGGUUCGAUUCCCGCAUUGGGCA